AGUCAUCGUUUUUACACCCCACUGAAAAAUUGUCACUUUACACGCAAAGGCGUUUCCUGGCCUUCCUGAUCCAUGACUAUGGGUGAGAUAGUUCCCGCGGAUGUAAAACUGAUUCAAAAACUCAACCGACAAGCCGAUGCACUUCUAGCCCAAUGGACAGUAAUAACAUCACAAAUCCAAAAUCUUCGCGUUGAAGUUCAACGGCUCCUAAUCGGCAGCCAGCGAACGUUGAGAUCGCGGAAUCCCAACGUCACUUACGAAGUACGUCGGCUAUCAAGACGAUCAGCUUCUGGGUCAACUCCGAUCGUAGACGCUAACCGAAGACGAAGACGCAGUCGAACAACUCAUUUGCAACAUCCUGGCAGAACUUCGUCUCGAAACCGGUCCCGUUCAAGAACUACCCGUAGUCUUCGCCAGAACAGUACUGUACGCUCUUUGAAACGAUGCUGAAAGUUCCAUUUUCAUUUGUUUCGACAAUCGCCAGUUCAAAAUUUUCCAUAUAAUCAUCGGUGUUUAAAAAAAUCAGACCAACCCAAGUAGGUAUCUCUAUGGAACCCUGUAUAGCUCAAGCAUUAUCUAUUCACUGCAAUGAUAUUCAAACAAUAUUGAUGAAAAUGAUAGCUACUCA
Aedes aegypti (yellow fever mosquito) is the source of this 628-nucleotide long non-coding RNA. RefSeq lists it as uncharacterized. NCBI's taxonomy places the organism in Eukaryota, Metazoa, Arthropoda, Insecta, Diptera, Culicidae. The transcript is spliced from 2 exons. The record is from RefSeq and is a predicted model, not a curated record.